Long non-coding RNA from Equus caballus (horse), 435 nucleotides. NCBI's taxonomy places the organism in Eukaryota, Metazoa, Chordata, Mammalia, Perissodactyla, Equidae. The record is from Ensembl.
CCAGGCCGGUUGAGACCACCAACUCAUCAACUGGGUCUGUGCAGAUGUCCGAUAGGCGACCUUUUGACGUCAAGAGGCUAAAAACUCCACCCUCAGAUCAUGCUAAUGCCGCCAUUUUGUGAACAUGGGUCCUGUGAAGAGACAUGGAGUCUGACUACGCUUGCGCACAUCAUCAGUUACCUCACCCCUCCCCACCUCCAAUCACCUCUCUCCACAGUUCAGACCACCUUGCCCCCAUCCCGUAAAUAUCCCUGAGUCCCUAUUUUCGGGGAAGCAAAUUUGAGGCUCAUGCUCUCGCUUCUUCGCAUGGCUGCCUUGAAAGAUUGUUGCCAGAAGUCCAGAUUUCAUAUCGUUUCUGCAUCACGACUCAGAUACAAAUAGAAGGAUCUCGAGGAAGGACACUGGCCUGAUUUGGGUCACUUGCCAAGCCUUGCA